AACGAACGCUGGCGGCAUGCCUAACACAUGCAAGUCGAACGAGACCUUCGGGUCUAGUGGCGCACGGGUGCGUAACGCGUGGGAACCUGCCCUUAGGUUCGGAAUAACUCCCCGAAAGGGGUGCUAAUACCGGAUAAUGUCUUCGGACCAAAGAUUUAUCGCCUUUGGAUGGGCCCGCGUUGGAUUAGCUAGUUGGUAGGGUAAAAGCCUACCACGGCGACGAUCCAUAGCUGGUCUGAGAGGAUGAUCAGCCACACUGGGACUGAGACACGGCCCAGACUCCUACGGGAGGCAGCAGUGGGGAAUAUUGGACAAUGGGCGGAGGCCUGAUCCAGCAAUGCCGCGUGAGUGAUGAAGGCCUUAGGGUUGUAAAGCUCUUUUACCCGGGAUGAUAAUGACAGUACCGGGAGAAUAAGCGCCGGCUAACUCCGUG
Molecule: ribosomal RNA, 433 nt
Filed under: uncultured bacterium
Lineage: Bacteria
Description: partial 16S ribosomal RNA
Rfam family: Bacterial small subunit ribosomal RNA
Source: RNAcentral